GAGUUUGAUCCUGGCUCAGGACGAACGCUGGCGGCGCGCCUAACACAUGCAAGUCGAACGAGAGAGAGGGAGCUUGCUUCUUCAAUCGAGUGGCGAACGGGUGAGUAACGCGUGAGGAACCUGCCUCAAAGAGGGGGACAACAGUUGGAAACGACUGCUAAUACCGCAUAAGCCCACAGGUCGGCAUCGACCAGAGGGAAAAGGAGCAAUCCGCUUUGAGAUGGCCUCGCGUCCGAUUAGCUAGUUGGUGAGGUAAUGGCCCACCAAGGCAACGAUCGGUAGCCGGACUGAGAGGUUGAACGGCCACAUUGGGACUGAGGCACGGCCCAGACUCCUACGGGAGGCAGCAGUGGGGAAUAUUGCACAAUGGGGGAAACCCUGAUGCAGCGACGCCGCGUGGAGGAAGAAGGUCUUCGGAUUGUAAACCCCUGUUGUUGAGGAAGAUAAUGACGGUACUCAACAAGGAAGUGACGGCUAACUACGUGCCAGCCGCCGCGGUAAUAC
RNAcentral lists this ribosomal RNA (504 nucleotides) under uncultured bacterium. RNAcentral describes it as "bacterial SSU rRNA". It matches the Rfam family "Bacterial small subunit ribosomal RNA", at positions 9 to 526 of the family's 1533-position model. The record is from RNAcentral.